GUGCUGGUGCACCGAACUGCUUUCCUCACGUUCCAUCAGUCAUUGCUCCACGAGAUAACGCUGGAUGCAAAGCGGCGGGUUCCUGUGUUGCGUACCUAUCGGGAUGGAAAUCGGUUGAUUUCGUUGUGCCUUUCGUCCUCGCUUCCUCUGGGAAGUUCGGAUGGACUAGACGGAAGGGCUCGUGUUCCACGGACGUCUCGCACGAUCGUUCCGAUGGACCACGAGCAUCUUCUCGUUCUCUCGGAUGCGGAAAGUCCCUCAUGGGCGUGGGUCAUUGGCCCUCGGUCCCGAAUCUGUAAGCGAAGCUAACGGGCAUAGCUUUAACAUCGGAAUGACGCUCUCGCCUCGUCUUCGACCACGCGAAGCUAACGGGCAUAGCUCGCGAUGGCUCGUGCGGGGCGGA
RNAcentral lists this unclassified non-coding RNA (403 nucleotides) under Leptospermum emarginatum. RNAcentral's name for it is "partial external transcribed spacer". Lineage: Eukaryota; Viridiplantae; Streptophyta; Magnoliopsida; Myrtales; Myrtaceae. The record is from RNAcentral.